This 406-nucleotide ribosomal RNA is filed under the name uncultured bacterium. RNAcentral's name for it is "partial 16S ribosomal RNA". It matches the Rfam family "Bacterial small subunit ribosomal RNA", at positions 29 to 526 of the family's 1533-position model. The record is from RNAcentral.
AUUGAACGCUGGCGGCAGGCCUAACACAUGCAAGUCGUACGAGAGGCGGACGGGUGAGUAAUGUCUGGGCAACUGCCCGAUGGAGGGGGAUAACUACUGGAAACGGUAGCUAAUACCGCAUACUAUCGGAUGUGCCCAGAUGGGAUUAGCUAGUAGGUGGGGUAACGGCUCACCUAGGCGACGAUCCCUAGCUGGUCUGAGAGGAUGACGAGCCACACUGGAACGGGGACACGGGCCAGACACCUACGGGAGGCAGCAGUGGGGAAUAUGGCACAAUGGGCGCAAGCAUGAUGCAGCCAUGCAGGGUGUAUGAAGAAGGCCUUCGGGUUGUAAAGUACUUUCAGCGAGGAGGCGUGGCUCGCAGAAGAAACACCGGCUAAGUCCGUGCCAGCAGCCGCGGUAAUAC